GGGCCCGCACAAGCGGUGGAGCAUGUGGUUUAAUUCGAUGAUACGCGAGGAACCUUACCUAGGCUAUAAUGUGAGUGAUCGGUGCUGAAAGGCACUUUUCCUUCGGGACACUUAACAAGGUGCUGCAUGGUUGUCGUCAGCUCGUGCCGUGAGGUGUCAGGUUAAGUCCUAUAACGAGCGCAACCCCUGUUGUUAGUUGCCAGCGAGUAAUGUCGGGAACUCUAGCAAGACUGCCAGUGCAAACUGUGAGGAAGGUGGGGAUGACGUCAAAUCAUCACGGCCCUUACGUCCUGGCUACACACGUGCUACAAUGGUAGGUACAGAGGGCAGCCACACCGCAAGGUGGAGCGAA
Molecule: ribosomal RNA, 352 nt
Filed under: uncultured bacterium
Lineage: Bacteria
Description: bacterial SSU rRNA
Rfam family: Bacterial small subunit ribosomal RNA
Source: RNAcentral